GACGAACGCUGGCGGCGUGCUUAACACAUGCAAGUCGAACGAAGAGCGACGGAAGCUUGCUUCUAUCAAUCUUAGUGGCGAACGGGUGGGUAACGCGUAAUCAACCUGCCCUUCAGAGGGGGACAACAGUUGGAAACGACUGCUAAUACCGCAUACGAUCUAAUCUCGGCAUCGAGGAUGGAUGAAAGGUGGCCUCUACAUGUAAGCUAUCACUGAAGGAGGGGAUUGCGUCUGAUUAGCUAGUUGGAGGGGUAACGGCCCACCAAGGCGAUGAUCAGUAGCCGGUCUGAGAGGAUGAACGGCCACAUUGGGACUGAGACACGGCCCAGACUCCUACGGGAGGCAGCAGUGGGGAAUCUUCCGCAAUGGACGAAAGUCUGACGGAGCAACGCCGCGUGAGUGAUGACGGCCUUCGGGUUGUAAAGCUCUGUUAAUCGGGACGAAAGGCCUUCUUGCGAAUAGUGAGAAGGAUUGACGGUACCGGAAUAGAAAGCCACGGCUAACUACGUG
Molecule: ribosomal RNA, 510 nt
Filed under: uncultured bacterium
Lineage: Bacteria
Description: partial 16S ribosomal RNA
Rfam family: Bacterial small subunit ribosomal RNA
Source: RNAcentral